Molecule: ribosomal RNA, 333 nt
Filed under: uncultured bacterium
Lineage: Bacteria
Description: bacterial SSU rRNA
Rfam family: Bacterial small subunit ribosomal RNA
Source: RNAcentral
AUUUGACGUUACCUACAGAAGAAGCACCGGCUAACUCCGUGCCAGCAGCCGCGGUAAUACGGAGGGGUGCGAGCGUUAAUCGGAAUUACUGGGCGUAAAGCGCAUGCAGGCGGCCUGUUAAGUCAGAUGUGAAAGCCCGGGGCGUUAACCUCGGAAUUGCAUUUGAAACUGGCAGGCUAGAGUCUUGUAGAGGGGGGUAGGAAGUUUCAGGUGUAGCGGUGAAAUGCGUAGAGAUCUGAAGGAAUACCAGUGGCGAAGGCGGCCCCCUCGGACAAAGACUGACGCUCAGAUGCGAAAGCGUGAGGAGCAAACAGGAUUAGAUACCCCUGGUAG